GAAUACACAAGGUGCUGCAGAUCAGGAACAGACAUAAAGAGAAAUACCUAUAGGACAAAAUAUUUGGAUCUUUUGGAACUGCCAGCUUUUGUAUUUCUGAAGUCAGAACGUACACAGGGAAGGGGCAUGUUCACUUUUCUGAUUGGAGCUUCCUUCAUAUUGACGGUGCAAUCGGAGCCCAGAUGUGAUCAAACAGAGUUCUUGCACCAUAAUGGCACCUGUGUCGCAUGCCCUGUUUGUCAGCCUGGGGAACAGCUUUCAGGGGAUUGUGGCUUUGGUGAUGGUGGGGAUGGGGUGUGUAUUCCAUGUGAAGAGGGGACCUUCAGCACAGACACGGGUGUGGAUCCAUGCAGGAGAUGCACCCAGUGCAAUCUGCUGAACCGCCUGGUGUUGACCGCCUGUUCACCCAUCAGUAAUGCUGUGUGUG
Long non-coding RNA from Fundulus heteroclitus (mummichog), 427 nucleotides. RefSeq lists it as uncharacterized. The transcript is spliced from 4 exons. NCBI's taxonomy places the organism in Eukaryota, Metazoa, Chordata, Actinopteri, Cyprinodontiformes, Fundulidae. The record is from RefSeq and is a predicted model, not a curated record.